AACGCAUCUUGCGCCCUUUGGUAUUCCGAAGGGCAUGCCCGUUUGAGUGUCAUUGUAUUCUCAAAUCUCUUCGCUUUUGUGAAGUUGAUUUGGAUUUGGAGGUCCUGCGGGUGACUUUGGUCGUCCGCUCCUCUUGAAUGCAUUAGCUGGAACCUUUUGCUAGACCAGCCUCGGUGUGAUAAUUAUCUGCGCCGUGGUUGUAAGGCGACUUUGUUGAGGAUCCGCUUCCAAUCGUCUUCGGACUUAUUCUGACAUCUGACCUCAAAUCGGGUAGGACUACCCGCUGAACUUAA
RNAcentral lists this unclassified non-coding RNA (293 nucleotides) under uncultured fungus. RNAcentral describes it as "partial contains 5.8S ribosomal RNA, internal transcribed spacer 2, and large subunit ribosomal RNA". The stretch from base 1 to 52 matches the Rfam family "5.8S ribosomal RNA", at positions 103 to 154 of the family's 154-position model. RNAcentral also lists the same sequence under 1 other name. The record is from RNAcentral. Lineage: Eukaryota; Fungi.